RNAcentral lists this transfer RNA (66 nucleotides) under Anodonta anatina. RNAcentral's name for it is "tRNA-Ala". The record is from RNAcentral. Lineage: Eukaryota; Metazoa; Mollusca; Bivalvia; Unionida; Unionidae.
AGAUUGUAUACUUUAUAAAAAAGAUUUAGUUUGCAUCUAAGACUAGGGUACACACCCUACAAUCUG